Molecule: small RNA, 911 nt
Filed under: Arabidopsis thaliana (thale cress)
Lineage: Eukaryota; Viridiplantae; Streptophyta; Magnoliopsida; Brassicales; Brassicaceae
Description: ATSL175150
Source: RNAcentral
AUGAAUAAUCAAAACUUUGAUUCUUGCCUUCUCUUGCAAUUGACUUUACUAUCCAUAGUAUACUAGCUUUUUCUUUCAUAUCCAUUUAAAUGGUUUAAAGUGCAUUUGAUGCCUACCAAAAAAAAAAACUAACAAAAAUAUAUAAGUAAGACUCAAUAUAACUAUUUUAGAAACUUUAAACAAUGUGAAAUCAUUUACAAACACUUACAAAAAACGAAAUCUGAAAGCUAUUAUGAGUCCAAACCUUAAAAGAAAGAGACAAAUUGAUAAGGUUGAGACUCUUGCCCGUUUUGCUUCCUCUUUCAUAUCCAUUUAUGGUUUAAAGUGCAUUUGAUGUCUACUUCCAAAAAAAAAAAAGAUGCAAAAAUUUCUCGAUUUACAUUUAGAACAAAACAAAAACAUGUAAGUAAGACUCAAUAUAACCAUUUUAGAAACAUUAAACAAUAUGAAAUCAUUCACAAAAACUAAAAGAAAAAGAAAAAAAAAAACUCUUGCCGUAAACGUUGGUGAUACCGUAAAUGUUGGUGAUACAACAAACCAUCUUCCAUUUUUCUUUCAGUAAUUGAGUAACUUCAAUUGUCAAAGGAAACAAAAGCAUUUGUAAAUAUGUGUGUGUUGUGUUUGUGUAAAUAUUUGCUAUUUAUAUUAGAAAAGUAGAUUGUUAGGGUAUAACUAAUAAAGGUUAAUAAUUAUAGAAGAACGUUUACAACACGAACGUUACAUGAGUAACAAACUAAUAAUAUCUUUUUUUAAAACGUUACAUGAGACAUUGAGUAUUCAAUCUCAUUGAGCCACUAAUAACCUUAAUGAGGUUUAAUCCUAAUUUUUUUUCUCUCGUUCCUCUUAACAGUUAUCAAAACUAUGGUCAUUUGAGUCUUUUUUAAUCAGGUGAGCUUUACAUCUAUUUCUCA